GCAGUCGUGGCCGAGUGAUUAAGGCGGUGGUCUAGAAAUCCAUUGGGGUCUCCCCGCACAGGUUCGAAUAGUGUCGACUGUG
Ixodes scapularis (black-legged tick) is the source of this 82-nucleotide non-coding RNA. The record is from Rfam. NCBI's taxonomy places the organism in Eukaryota, Metazoa, Arthropoda, Arachnida, Ixodida, Ixodidae.